CUGCUGCCUCCCGUAGGAGUUUGGUCCGUGUCUCAGUACCAAUGUGGGGGGUUAACCUCUCGGUCCCCCUAUGUAUCGUCGCCUUGGUGAGCCGUUACCUCACCAACCAGCUAAUACAACGCAUGCCCAUCAUCAACCACCGGAGUUUUCAACCCCAUGCGAUGCCGCAUGAGAUAUUAUGGGGUAUUAGUACCAAUUUCUCAGUGUUAUCCCCCUGUUGAUGGUAGGUUGCAUACGCGUUACGCACCCGUGCGCCGGUCCG
RNAcentral lists this ribosomal RNA (262 nucleotides) under uncultured bacterium. RNAcentral's name for it is "partial 16S ribosomal RNA". The record is from RNAcentral.